This 253-nucleotide ribosomal RNA is filed under the name uncultured bacterium. RNAcentral's name for it is "partial 16S ribosomal RNA". It matches the Rfam family "Bacterial small subunit ribosomal RNA", at positions 524 to 776 of the family's 1533-position model. The record is from RNAcentral.
UACAGAGGGUGCAAGCGUUGUUCGGAAUUAUUGGGCGUAAAGGGCGUGUAGGCGGUUUGCUAAGUCAUGUGUGAAAUCCCUCGGCUUAACCGAGGAACGACGCAUGAUACUGGCAAGCUAGAGUGCGGUAGAGGGUAGUGGAAUUCCCGGUGUAGCGGUGAAAUGCGUAGAGAUCGGGAGGAACACCAGUGGCGAAGGCGGCUACCUGGACCAGCACUGACACUGAGGCACGAAAGCGUGGGGAGCAAACAGG